Molecule: long non-coding RNA, 443 nt
Filed under: Phoenix dactylifera (date palm)
Lineage: Eukaryota; Viridiplantae; Streptophyta; Magnoliopsida; Arecales; Arecaceae
Description: long non-coding RNA (PDAC_LNC012836)
Source: RNAcentral
AAUUGAUAAUUAUAAAUUAUUUGUGAUUCCUAAUCACAAUUCAACCAUCGGAUCAGUUAAUACCUCUAAUGUGUGUGACCCCAUAGGUUCUAUUCUGUCUGGUAGUGAGAUAUAUUGCGAUCUCUAUCACAAUAUCAUUGAAAACUCCUUUCAAUUGGUUGGAACAAUUCCAACUCUUCUCAUUCGGGUUCACUGAUCACCAAGUGAAUGCCUUUGAGUCUCACAAUCCACCAGUGACACCUAGCAGCAUGUAGUGACAACCCAGCAAAAUGGAAUGAUGAACCUCUAGAUGUAGUUAGUGUAUGAUACAGUCCCUCUAUCGUAGAUCCCGACAAGACGGAGGUCAUGGAUAACUCGUCAAACCCCUAUCGUCUGUCAUAUGUCAAGAUUUAUUCGACUUAAGUUCGAGAGUGGAAAACUCCUUUUCCACUAUACAUACUACC